Poecile atricapillus (Black-capped chickadee) is the source of this 431-nucleotide long non-coding RNA. RefSeq lists it as uncharacterized. The transcript is spliced from 3 exons. Lineage: Eukaryota; Metazoa; Chordata; Aves; Passeriformes; Paridae. The record is from RefSeq and is a predicted model, not a curated record.
CAGCAUGACCAAAAAAGCCUUCAAAAAAGUAAAAGGAGAAAAAUAAUUAAAAAUGCUGGGAGCCCCUGGCGGUGCCUGGAAUCCCACGUGGUGGAGAAAAGGCCGUCUGGGAUGCCAAUUUUGGAGCUCGCCAGUGCGAUCAGCCAGUUUUAGAAGCAAAUGAGAACAGCCAAGAUACCCAUUCAAAGUUCAAGCCAGGUCUUUACAGAUACCCCUACCCAAGAGGCUGUGACUCCCUGCACUGCAGGGGUCAUCUCUAAGGACCAAGGACCAAAGCUGAAUAUCAUGAUCCUGCUAGUGUAUUACCUUUUCUUUGGUAUCUACUACAGCUGGAAUGACCACAUCUACACUACAAGGAAAAAGGUCAUUAAUCAGCAACUUCCUUCAACUUUUCUGCAACCAUGUGCAUGUUGCACUUUGAAAUACAUCCC